AUACGGAGGGUGCUAGCGUUAUUCGGAAUCACUGGGCGUAAAGGACGCGUAGGCGGGUUUGUAAGUCAGGUGUGAAAUCCUACAGCUUAACUGUAGAACUGCACUUGAAACUACAGACCUAGAGUAUGGGAGGGGCAGAUGGAAUUAGUGGUGUAGGGGUAAAAUCCGUAGAUAUCACUAGGAAUACCGAAAGCGAAGGCGAUCUGCUGGAACAUAACUGACGCUAAGGCGUGAAAGCGUGGGGAGCAAACAGGAUUAGAAACCCUAGUAGUCC
This 274-nucleotide ribosomal RNA is filed under the name uncultured bacterium. RNAcentral describes it as "partial 16S ribosomal RNA". It matches the Rfam family "Bacterial small subunit ribosomal RNA", at positions 523 to 796 of the family's 1533-position model. The record is from RNAcentral.